UACGAAGGGGGCGAGCGUUGUUCGGAAUCACUGGGCGUAAAGGGCGCGUAGGCGGCCCUCCUAGUCGCGUGUGAAAGCCCCGGGCUCAACCUGGGAACGGCGCGCGAAACGGGGGGGCUGGAGUUCGGGAGAGGAGCGUGGAAUUCCCAGUGUAGAGGUGAAAUUCGUAGAUAUUGGGAAGACCACCGCUGGCGAAGGCGGCGCUCUGGACCGCGCCUGACGCUGAGGCGCGCGAUCUUGGGGAGCAAACAGG
RNAcentral lists this ribosomal RNA (253 nucleotides) under uncultured bacterium. RNAcentral's name for it is "partial 16S ribosomal RNA". It matches the Rfam family "Bacterial small subunit ribosomal RNA", at positions 524 to 776 of the family's 1533-position model. The record is from RNAcentral.